UACGUAGGGGGCAAGCGUUGUCCGGAUUUAUUGGGCGUAAAGAGCGUGUAGGCGGCCAGACAGGUCCGUUGUGAAAACUCGAGGCUCAACCUCGAGACGCCGAUGGGAACCGUUUGGCUAGAGUCCGGAAGAGGAGAGUGGAAUUCCUGGUGUAGCGGUGAAAUGCGCAGAUAUCAGGAGGAACACCAGUGGCGAAGGCGGCGCUCUGGGCCGGAACUGACGCUGAGGAGCGAAAGCGUGGGUAGCAAACAGG
This 253-nucleotide ribosomal RNA is filed under the name uncultured bacterium. RNAcentral describes it as "partial 16S ribosomal RNA". It matches the Rfam family "Bacterial small subunit ribosomal RNA", at positions 524 to 776 of the family's 1533-position model. The record is from RNAcentral.